RNAcentral lists this ribosomal RNA (1442 nucleotides) under uncultured organism. Its description in RNAcentral is "SSU rRNA". It matches the Rfam family "Bacterial small subunit ribosomal RNA". The record is from RNAcentral.
ACGCUAGCUACAGGCUUAACACAUGCAAGUCGAGGGGCAGCAUGGUCUUAGCUUGCUAAGGCCGAUGGCGACCGGCGCACGGGUGAGUAACACGUAUCCAACCUGCCGUCUACUCUUGGACAGCCUUCUGAAAGGAAGAUUAAUACAAGAUGGCAUCAUGAGUCCACAUGUUCACAUGAUUAAAGGUAUUCCGGUAGACGAUGGGGAUGCGUUCCAUUAGAUAGUAGGCGGGGUAACGGCCCACCUAGUCUUCGAUGGAUAGGGGUUCCGAGAGGAAGGUCCCCCACAUUGGAACUGAGACACGGUCCAAACUCCUACGGGAGGCAGCAGUGAGGAAUAUUGGUCAAUGGGCGAGAGCCUGAACCAGCCAAGUAGCGUGAAGGAUGACUGCCCUAUGGGUUGUAAACUUCUUUUAUAAAGGAAUAAAGUCGGGUAUGCAUGCCCGUUUGCAUGUACUUUAUGAAUAAGGAUCGGCUAACUCCGUGCCAGCAGCCGCGGUAAUACGGAGGAUCCGAGCGUUAUCCGGAUUUAUUGGGUUUAAAGGGAGCGUAGAUGGAUGUUUAAGUCAGUUGUGAAAGUUUGCGGCUCAACCGUAAAAUUGCAGUUGAUACUGGAUAUCUUGAGUGCAGUUGAGGCAGGCGGAAUUCGUGGUGUAGCGGUGAAAUGCUUAGAUAUCACGAAGAACUCCGAUUGCGAAGGCAGCCUGCUAAGCUGCAACUGACAUUGAGGCUCGAAAGUGUGGGUAUCAAACAGGAUUAGAUACCCUGGUAGUCCACACGGUAAACGAUGAAUACUCGCUGUUUGCGAUAUACGGCAAGCGGCCAAGCGAAAGCGUUAAGUAUUCCACCUGGGGAGUACGCCGGCAACGGUGAAACUCAAAGGAAUUGACGGGGGCCCGCACAAGCGGAGGAACAUGUGGUUUAAUUCGAUGAUACGCGAGGAACCUUACCCGGGCUUAAAUUGCAGAUGAAUUACGGUGAAAGCCGUAAGCCGCAAGGCAUCUGUGAAGGUGCUGCAUGGUUGUCGUCAGCUCGUGCCGUGAGGUGUCGGCUUAAGUGCCAUAACGAGCGCAACCCUUGUUGUCAGUUACUAACAGGUUCCGCUGAGGACUCUGACAAGACUGCCAUCGUAAGAUGUGAGGAAGGUGGGGAUGACGUCAAAUCAGCACGGCCCUUACGUCCGGGGCUACACACGUGUUACAAUGGGGGGUACAGAGGGCCGCUACCACGCGAGUGGAUGCCAAUCCCCAAAACCUCUCUCAGUUCGGACUGGAGUCUGCAACCCGACUCCACGAAGCUGGAUUCGCUAGUAAUCGCGCAUCAGCCACGGCGCGGUGAAUACGUUCCCGGGCCUUGUACACACCGCCCGUCAAGCCAUGGGAGCCGGGGGUACCUGAAGUGCGUAACCGCGAGGAGCGCCCUAGGGUAAAACUGGUGACUGGG